RNAcentral lists this ribosomal RNA (506 nucleotides) under uncultured eukaryote. RNAcentral's name for it is "partial Bacterial small subunit ribosomal RNA". It matches the Rfam family "Bacterial small subunit ribosomal RNA", at positions 485 to 987 of the family's 1533-position model. The record is from RNAcentral.
AAAAAGUUCCGACUAAUGUUGUGCCAGCAGUCGCGGUAAUACAGCAGGAACUAGCGUUAUUUAGCAUAAAUGGGCGUAAAGCGUUUGUGGUUGGUAUAAAGUUGUUAGGUGUUAAAUUUCAUGGCGUAACUUUGAAACAGCGCUUAAAACGUUUAUACUAGAGUGCAAUGUAAGACAUUGGAAUUUUACAAGAAGAGGUAAAAUUUUUAGAACUGUAAAAGAACCUCAAAAGCAAAGGCUGUUGUCUAGGUUGUUGACUGACAUUAAGAAACGAAAGUGUGGUUAUCAAACAGGACUAGAUACCCUGGUAGUCUACACCCUAAAUUAUGAGUGUUAACCCUUAGUGUAUUUAAACAUUAGGCGUUUUUGUUAACUUGUUAAGCACUCCGCCUGAAAAGUAUAAUUACAAGAUGGAACUUCAAAGGAAUUGACGGGGAUCAAUUACCAGUGGUGGAGCAUGUUGUUUAAUGCGAUAGUACACGCUAAACCUUACCAGUUUUUGAUGG